GGUUAACUGGCCGGGCCGGGGGCGGGGCUCCGGGGGCCCCGCCCCCGAAGGGUCACGUGUCUUGCUGGUCCGCUCCAAGGCUGAGGUCAAGGCGCUCCAAAACGCCUCAGGCCACCCGAGAUCCCGUCCCUCCAAGGAGCAAACAGCCUUAUCUGGCCCAGGAGAGCAAUGUCCAGAGGUCAGAGGACUGCUACAAUGAAAGAUCACAGGGCUGCCUGCCAAGGAAAUCUGUGAUGAUUCUAAAUUAACCCCGGGUCUGACCUCCAGUUUCCACAAACAGGUAUUGUGAACCUGAAAAGAGUACAUCUUCCCUUUAUUUGUGGGCUGUAUAGAUACUGAACCUGGGACCUCAUGUGUUCUAGAGACUGAACAACAAAUGAUAUUUCUACCUCUCCAAGGACUUGGCAAAUAAGCCAAAUCUUUCUCUUCACAAUCCUCUAAAGACACCACUGCACCAUGACAGCAGGAAGUAAAUUCAAGAAUACAACAAGAAUUCCCAAGAGUGAGACAUGUUUGCUCAUGGCAUCAACAAUCUACUUCAGAGAAAAUGAUGGGCAUCUUCUUAUUAACUUGUGCUACACGAACUUGGACAAUAGUACAAUUAUCCAGUCAUCUAAUCCAGUCUGAACUGUUAUCAUCACUAUGCUGCUCCAUUCCUACACACUGAAAGUGUCAAAAUACUAAUUUCUUGGGGAACUCACCCUCAUUCUCACUACUGCUAGAACGGACCUCAGGAGAUGAUUCAGAUUGUGAUGAUGAAAAUUCUUCUUUCCAUUUCUUCCGUUUCUUUGGUGGUGGCUCAGCCUUCACUUUGAGUUGUUUAACUUUGGGUUUUGUAGAAGGGGCUUUUGUAGUUGGAGUUUUUGAUACUGGUGGGUCAGAAGUUUUGCUGCUACUACUUGGCUUAGAUGGAACAUUUCUGCAAUUUUAAAACAAGUUUCAUUAACAUCAUUAAAUCUCUUAAGACUGAAAAGAAAUAAUCUGAUGAUUAAUAAGAGAAGAUUAAACAAACUCAGGACAACAGUUCCAAAAUAGUUCACAUGCUAUACAACUCAACAGUGACUACCAUAGCAUUUUCUUGAUAUAGAUUGCAUGAUACUGGCACAUUAUACUGUUAUUAAGGUGCUAUUAACUCAAUUUUAGCAUAUCAGAUCCCUUAUGGUUCAUUUUCCAGAGAAGAUGAGGUGUACAAAGCCAAAUCUAGCCUUGAUACUCUAGUAGAACUAGGUUUUGAUGAAGAAAUACAUGUAUAUGCAUCUGUCUGAGAAGCCCUGAAGUCCUAUGCUGAAUCUAGAAAUCUGUGUGGUUAAAUUCUAUCAGGACAUCGGGUAGUAGUGGUGUACACCUUUAAUCCCAGUACUCAGAAGGCAGAGGCAGGCAGAUUUCUGUGAGUUAGAGGCCAGCCUGGUCUACAGAGCUAGCUCCAG
This is a long non-coding RNA of Arvicola amphibius (Eurasian water vole), 1427 nucleotides long. RefSeq lists it as uncharacterized. The transcript is spliced from 5 exons. Lineage: Eukaryota; Metazoa; Chordata; Mammalia; Rodentia; Cricetidae. The record is from RefSeq and is a predicted model, not a curated record.